AGUGAACGCUGGCGGUAGGCCUAACACAUGCAAGUCGAACGGCAGCACAGUAAGAGCUUGCUCUUACGGGUGGCGAGUGGCGGACGGGUGAGGAAUACAUCGGAAUCUACUUUUUCGUGGGGGAUAACGUAGGGAAACUUACGCUAAUACCGCAUACGACCUACGGGUGAAAGCAGGGGAUCUUCGGACCUUGCGCGAUUGAAUGAGCCGAUGUCGGAUUAGCUAGUUGGCGGGGUAAAGGCCCACCAAGGCGACGAUCAGUAGCUGGUCUGAGAGGAUGAUCAGCCACACUGGAACUGAGACACGGUCCAGACUCCUACGGGAGGCAGCAGUGGGGAAUAUUGGACAAUGGGCGCAAGCCUUAUCCAGCCAUACCGCGUGGGUGAAGAAGGCCUUCGGGUUGUAAAGCCCUUUUGUUGGGAAAGAAAAGCAGCAGGUUAAUACCCCGCUGUUCUGACGGUACCCAAAGAAUAAGCACCGGCUAACCUCGU
RNAcentral lists this ribosomal RNA (491 nucleotides) under uncultured bacterium. RNAcentral's name for it is "partial 16S ribosomal RNA". It matches the Rfam family "Bacterial small subunit ribosomal RNA", at positions 29 to 506 of the family's 1533-position model. The record is from RNAcentral.